Molecule: ribosomal RNA, 244 nt
Filed under: Salmonella enterica subsp. enterica serovar Senftenberg
Lineage: Bacteria; Pseudomonadati; Pseudomonadota; Gammaproteobacteria; Enterobacterales; Enterobacteriaceae
Also listed under: 1 other name
Description: partial 16S ribosomal RNA
Rfam family: Bacterial small subunit ribosomal RNA
Source: RNAcentral
CGGGAGGCAGCAGUGGGGAAUAUUGCACAAUGGGCGCAAGCCUGAUGCAGCCAUGCCGCGUGUAUGAAGAAGGCCUUCGGGUUGUAAAGUACUUUCAGCGGGGAGGAAGGUGUUGUGGUUAAUAACCACAGCAAUUGACGUUACCCGCAGAAGAAGCACCGGCUAACUCCGUGCCAGCAGCCGCGGUAAUACGGAGGGUGCAAGCGUUAAUCGGAAUUACUGGGCGUAAAGCGCACGCAGGCGG